AGCUGGCUGACUUGUCCCAAAUAGGACGGAACGCGCGUCCUGAGU
Schistosoma mansoni is the source of this 45-nucleotide non-coding RNA. The record is from Rfam. Lineage: Eukaryota; Metazoa; Platyhelminthes; Trematoda; Strigeidida; Schistosomatidae.